This 553-nucleotide ribosomal RNA is filed under the name Boiga siamensis. Its description in RNAcentral is "partial 16S ribosomal RNA". It matches the Rfam family "Bacterial large subunit ribosomal RNA", at positions 1854 to 2679 of the family's 2925-position model. Lineage: Eukaryota; Metazoa; Chordata; Lepidosauria; Squamata; Colubridae. The record is from RNAcentral.
AACGCCUGCCCAGUGAAAAAUUAAACGGCCGCGGUAUCCUAACCGUGCAAAGGUAGCAUAAUCAUUUGUCUACUAAUUAUAGACCUGUAUGAAAGGCAAAAUGAGGGCCUAACUGUCUCUUAUAAUCAAUCAAUUAAACUGAUCUCCUAGUAAAAAAGCUAGAAUACUAACAUAAGACCAGAAGACCCUGUGAAGCUUAAACUAAAAUAUUAAUCCAAAUAAUAACUACUUUCGGUUGGGGCGACCUUGGAAAAAAAAAGAACUUCCAAACUUAAACACACAACUUUAGGCCUACAAGCCAACUAACGACCCAGCAUAGCUGACAAUUGAACCAAGUUACUCCAGGGAUAACAGCGCAAUCUUCUUCAAGAGUCCAUAUCAAAAAGAAGGUUUACGACCUCGAUGUUGGAUCAGGACAUCCUAAUGGUGCAGCCGCUAUUAAGGGUUCGUUUGUUCAACGAUUAAUAGUCCUACGUGAUCUGAGUUAGAACCGGAAGUUCAGACCGGAGAACKAUCCUUAAUAGCGGCUGCMCCAUUAGGAUGUCCUGAUCCA